UACGGAGGGUGCGAGCGUUGUCCGGAAUCACUGGGCGUAAAGGGCUCGUAGGCGGCCAACUAAGUCAGACGUGAAAUCCCUCAGCUUAACUGGGGAACUGCGUCUGAUACUGGAUGGCUUGGAUUCGGGAGAGGAAUGCGGAAUUCCAGGUGUAGCGGUGAAAUGCGUAGAUAUCUGGAGGAACACCGGUGGCGAAGGCGGCAUUCUGGACCGACAUUGACGCUGAGGAGCGAAAGCCAGGGGAGCAAACGGG
RNAcentral lists this ribosomal RNA (253 nucleotides) under uncultured bacterium. Its description in RNAcentral is "partial 16S ribosomal RNA". It matches the Rfam family "Bacterial small subunit ribosomal RNA", at positions 524 to 776 of the family's 1533-position model. The record is from RNAcentral.